Molecule: ribosomal RNA, 417 nt
Filed under: uncultured bacterium
Lineage: Bacteria
Description: bacterial SSU rRNA
Rfam family: Bacterial small subunit ribosomal RNA
Source: RNAcentral
UGAGGGAUAUUGGGCAAUGGGGGAAACCCUGACCCAGCGACGCCGCGUGAGGGAAGACGGUCUUCGGAUUGUAAACCUCUGUCUUUGGGGACGAAGAAGGACGGUACCCAAGGAGGAAGCUCCGGCUAACUACGUGCCAGCAGCCGCGGUAAUACGUAGGGAGCGAGCGUUGUCCGGAAUUACUGGGUGUAAAGGGAGCGUAGGCGGGAUUGCAAGUUGGAUGUGAAAAACUGCGGGCUCAACCCGGAGAGUGCAUUCAAAACUGCGAUUCUUGAGUGAAGUAGAGGCAAGCGGAAUUCCUAGUGUAGCGGUGAAAUGCGUAGAUAUUAGGAGGAACACCAGUGGCGAAGGCGGCUUGCUGGGCUUUUACUGACGCUGAGGCUCGAAAGUGUGGGGAGCAAACAGGAUUAGAUACCC